Molecule: long non-coding RNA, 682 nt
Filed under: Diabrotica virgifera virgifera (western corn rootworm)
Lineage: Eukaryota; Metazoa; Arthropoda; Insecta; Coleoptera; Chrysomelidae
Description: uncharacterized LOC126885146
Source: RNAcentral
GACGAAUAUUCUGUUUGGUUUUGUUUUUUAUUGUUAAUUGUGCAGCGAAAUUGUGAUAGUAAAUUAAAUAUAAAGUUGUGUAUAGCCUACAGAACUGAAUUAUCCCAUAGUAAUUAUCAGUUUGUGUCAAUUUGUUUGUGUGUAAAAAAGAAAAAACACCUUUCCUUGUGUUUGACCGACUUGUAGCAAGGGCUUUCUUGAGAAGCCUGUAAAUUGCGGGAAUAGGACAGACAGGGAUAAAAUCCUCACUUUUUACUGUUCCCAAGGCUAUACAUUUCCCCCAUGCAAUACAUUUAAAUGAAUUUUAUCCAAACAAAGGCAGGAACAUUGGAUAAAAGCAAUAAAGAGAACAGACCACAAAUUAAAAUAUGAGAGUAUGUAGUAAACAUUUUAUAAGUGGAAUAAACACCAGCUAUUUUAAAUGUAGGAAAAGGAGAAACUGCUGGAAUCUAAUUUUACACAAAUGUUUUUGACUAUUGAAGAUUUGGAUAAACAACAGAAGUUACUUUGGGCUAUAGCUAUGUGCAGAUUUAUUUCCUUGUGGAUUACUAUGUUUAUUCUUUUUAACUAUACUUCCUAUAUUGUUUGUGAGAUUAAUAUUAUUAUUUAAUUGAUUAUAUUAAUAUUUUGUAAUAAUAAUCAAUGCUUUGGUUUAACAAAUAGACAACUUAGAAUAGAAAAA